This 361-nucleotide long non-coding RNA is filed under the name Glycine max (soybean). RNAcentral's name for it is "long non-coding RNA (GMAX_LNC002866)". Lineage: Eukaryota; Viridiplantae; Streptophyta; Magnoliopsida; Fabales; Fabaceae. The record is from RNAcentral.
UCUUUUUCAUUUUCGGUAAUGGUUCUUGCCAUCUGAAAUAGUUGCUAGCCUUGUGAUGAAGGGACAUAAACCCAAUUCCAACUACUAUGAAACUUUUAAGGAAAAGGUACCUGGCAUUUGCGAUGAAUAUCAACUAAAACUAUCUGAAUCUGUGAUCACCUACAAUUAUUACCAAACUGGAGUUUAAUCGUUUUGUAAAUGAGAAGGAUAUAUACUCGAUGCUAAUAUAUAGUUGCUCUUGUUACUAAAAUUACCUUUAGGGGUCUGUUUGACUAAUGCAAUGCCCCUAAGCAAGGAGUUGUUGGCUACUAGCAAACAAAAAAUGCACCAUUGAUAAUCUCCUCAGUAUCACUGGUGCUAG